Molecule: non-coding RNA, 57 nt
Organism: Loxodonta africana (African savanna elephant)
Lineage: Eukaryota; Metazoa; Chordata; Mammalia; Proboscidea; Elephantidae
Source: Rfam
UAGCACAGUGGUUAAGUGCUCGGCUGCUAACUGAAAGGUCGGUGGUUCAAACCCACC